Molecule: ribosomal RNA, 481 nt
Filed under: uncultured bacterium
Lineage: Bacteria
Description: partial 16S ribosomal RNA
Rfam family: Bacterial small subunit ribosomal RNA
Source: RNAcentral
AUUGAACGCUGGCGGCAUGCUUUACACAUGCAAGUCGAACGGUAACAGGCCGCAAGGUGCUGACGAGUGGCGAACGGGUGAGUAAUGCAUCGGAACGUGCCCAGUCGUGGGGGAUAACUACUCGAAAGAGUAGCUAAUACCGCAUACGAUCUAUGGAUGAAAGCGGGGGACCGUAAGGCCUCGCGCGAUUGGAGCGGCCGAUGUCAGAUUAGGUAGUUGGUGGGGUAAAGGCUCACCAAGCCAACGAUCUGUAGCUGGUCUGAGAGGACGAUCAGCCACACUGGGACUGAGACACGGCCCAGACUCCUACGGGAGGCAGCAGUGGGGAAUUUUGGACAAUGGGCGCAAGCCUGAUCCAGCAAUGCCGCGUGCAGGAAGAAGGCCUUCGGGUUGUAAACUGCUUUUGUACGGAACGAAACGGCUCUGGUUAAUACCCGGGGCUAAUGACGGUACCGUAAGAAUAAGCACCGGCUAACUACGU